This 228-nucleotide unclassified non-coding RNA is filed under the name plant metagenome. Its description in RNAcentral is "partial contains small subunit ribosomal RNA, internal transcribed spacer 1, and 5.8S ribosomal RNA". The stretch from base 1 to 54 matches the Rfam family "Eukaryotic small subunit ribosomal RNA", at positions 1778 to 1831 of the family's 1831-position model. The record is from RNAcentral.
GGAAGUAAAAGUCAUAACAAGGUUUCCGUAGGUGAACCUGCGGAAGGAUCAUUCAUAAUAAGUGUUUUACUGCACUUUUUAAAAAUAGUACUCACCUUGUGUGCAAUGUUGUGUUUCUUUUCGGAGAAACACCUACACCAACCUAUAACCUUGAACCACUUUGUCUGAAAAACUAUUAUGAAUACUUAAUUCAAAAUACAACUUUCAACAACGGAUCUCUUGGCUCUC